This 449-nucleotide ribosomal RNA is filed under the name uncultured bacterium. RNAcentral's name for it is "partial 16S ribosomal RNA". It matches the Rfam family "Bacterial small subunit ribosomal RNA", at positions 29 to 523 of the family's 1533-position model. The record is from RNAcentral.
AGCGAACGCUGGCGGCAGGCCUAACACAUGCAAGUCGAACGAAGUCUUCGGACUUAGUGGCGGACGGGUGAGUAACACGUGGGAACGUGCCUUUAGGUUCGGAAUAACUCAGGGAAACUUGUGCUAAUACCGAAUGUGCCCUUCGGGGGAAAGAUUUAUCGCCUAUAGAGCGGCCCGCGUCUGAUUAGCUAGUUGGUGAGGUAAAGGCUCACCAAGGCUACGAUCAGUAGCUGGUCUGAGAGGAUGACCAGCCACAUUGGGACUGAGACACGGCCCAAACUCCUACGGGAGGCAGCAGUGGGGAAUCUUGCGCAAUGGGCGAAAGCCUGACGCAGCCAUGCCGCGUGGAUGAUGAAGGUCUUAGGAUUGUAAAAUCCUUUCACCGGUGAAGAUAAUGACUGUAGCCGGAGAAGAAGCCCCGGCUAACUUCGUGCCAGCCGCCGCGGUAA